GGUCCGCUGGCUCAAUGGCAGAGCGUCUGACUACGAUUCCUUCUCUGAGGAUCUCAGAGUUGGUCGGGUAAUCAGGAGGUUCCAGGUUCGACCCCUGGGUGGAUCG
Molecule: non-coding RNA, 106 nt
Organism: Corynascus novoguineensis
Lineage: Eukaryota; Fungi; Ascomycota; Sordariomycetes; Sordariales; Chaetomiaceae
Source: the annotation of a GenBank genome assembly